UACGUAGGGGGCGAGCGUUAUCCGGAAUUAUUGGGUUUAAAGGGUGCGCAGGUUGUUUGAUAAGUCAGUGGUGAAAGUCUGUCGCUUAACGGUAGGAUUGCCAUUGAUACUGUUGGACUUGAAUAUGGAUGAGGUAGGCGGAAUGUGUAGUGUAGCGGUGAAAUGCAUAGAUAUUACACAGAACACCGAUUGCGAAGGCAGCUUACUAAUCCAUCAUUGACGCUGAGGCACGAAAGCGUGGGGAUCAAACAGGAUUA
This 257-nucleotide ribosomal RNA is filed under the name uncultured prokaryote. Its description in RNAcentral is "partial 16S ribosomal RNA". It matches the Rfam family "Bacterial small subunit ribosomal RNA", at positions 524 to 780 of the family's 1533-position model. The record is from RNAcentral.